This 253-nucleotide ribosomal RNA is filed under the name uncultured bacterium. Its description in RNAcentral is "partial 16S ribosomal RNA". It matches the Rfam family "Bacterial small subunit ribosomal RNA", at positions 524 to 776 of the family's 1533-position model. The record is from RNAcentral.
UACGGGGGGAGCAAACGUUGUUCGGAAUCACUGGGCGUAAAGGGCGUGUAGGCGGCUGAAUAAGUGGGAUGUUAAAUCCCCCGGCUCAACCGGGGACCUGCAUCUCAUACUGUUCAGCUCGAGCACAUCAGAGGAGACUGGAAUUCCCGGUGUAGCGGUGAAAUGCGCAGAUAUCAGGAGGAACACCGGUGGCGAAGGCGGUUCUCUGGGCCUUACCUGACGCUGAGGAGCGAAAGCGUGGGGAGCGAACAGG